Non-coding RNA from Megalops cyprinoides (Indo-Pacific tarpon), 131 nucleotides. RefSeq annotates it as small Cajal body-specific RNA 8. NCBI's taxonomy places the organism in Eukaryota, Metazoa, Chordata, Actinopteri, Elopiformes, Megalopidae. The transcript has a single exon. The record is from RefSeq and is a predicted model, not a curated record.
UGGGAGGGUGAUACUUGGACAGGCCUGAGCGGUGUCCUCUCCACCACUACGCCUCCCUACAGUAUUCCUGCUCUCUGUUGACUGGGGCGACGUGAGGGUAAUCGCCACAGACAGAUACGGGGCAGACACCC